Molecule: ribosomal RNA, 449 nt
Filed under: uncultured bacterium
Lineage: Bacteria
Description: partial 16S ribosomal RNA
Rfam family: Bacterial small subunit ribosomal RNA
Source: RNAcentral
AACGAACGCUGGCGGCAGGCUUAACACAUGCAAGUCGAACGCAUCCUUCGGGGUGAGUGGCAGACGGGUGAGUAACGCGUGGGAACGUGCCCUUCAGUUCGGAAUAACCCAGGGAAACUUGGGCUAAUACCGGAUACGUGCGAGAGCAGAAAGAUUUAUCGCUGAAGGAUCGGCCCGCGUCUGAUUAGCUAGUUGGUGAGGUAAUGGCUCACCAAGGCGACGAUCAGUAGCUGGUCUGAGAGGAUGAUCAGCCACAUUGGGACUGAGACACGGCCCAAACUCCUACGGGAGGCAGCAGUGGGGAAUAUUGGACAAUGGGCGCAAGCUUGAUCCAGCCAUGCCGCGUGAGUGAUGAAGGCCUUAGGGUUGUAAAGCUCUUUCAGUGGGGACGAUAAUGACGGUACCUGCAGAAAAAGCACCGGCUAACUACGUGCCAGCCGCCGCGGUAA